Molecule: ribosomal RNA, 580 nt
Filed under: Glomeromycotina sp.
Lineage: Eukaryota; Fungi; Glomeromycota
Description: eukaryotic LSU rRNA
Rfam family: Eukaryotic large subunit ribosomal RNA
Source: RNAcentral
CAAAUUUAAAAUCUACCUGGUUUYCAGGUCGAGUUGUAAUUUGAAGAUACGUUUUUGACGUUCCGGGUUGAACUAAAUCCUUUGGGAUAAGGUAUCAUGGAGGGUGAGAAUCCCGUAUAUACCAACCRYAGGGAUGUUAUUUAAUACGUUUCUAAGAGUCGAGUUGUUUGGGAAUGCAGCUCUAAAUGGGUGGUAAAUUUCACCUAAUGCUAAAUAUAAGCGAGAGACCGAUAGYGAACAAGUACAGUGAUGGAAAGAUGAAAAGAACUUUGAAAAGAGAGUUAAAUAGUAYGUGAAAUUGUUGAAAGGGAAACGAUUGAAGUCAGUCAUGCCRGUGGGAAUCAACUUAGAGGAAACUCUGAGUGCACUUCUUCGCUUGGCAGGUCAACGUCSAUUUUGGAUGUCAUAAAAWGAUUGGGGGAAGGSAGCUCYUUCGGGAGUGUUAUAGCCCUUGGUAGAUGUGAUGUCUGGGAUCGAGGAUUGCAAUGGAUACCCUUUGGGGCUAGCCGCCUGAUCUCUAAUYGGUAUUGGGUUACGGAUAGCAUGCUGACCGUGAUCUAAUUAUUGGUUAAAAGGUUAG